This 571-nucleotide long non-coding RNA is filed under the name Mytilus galloprovincialis (Mediterranean mussel). Lineage: Eukaryota; Metazoa; Mollusca; Bivalvia; Mytilida; Mytilidae. The record is from RNAcentral.
AAUAUGUGUUUAGGAUAUUAUAAUUACUUAGUACAGAGAUCAUAUUAAAUAUGUGUUUAGGUUAUUAUAAUUACUGACGUAAAUCACAUGACAUAUGUGUUUAUGUUAUUAUUGUUACUUAAUUAGAUCUUAUCUUAUUAAGUAUGUGUUUAUGUUAUUAAUACUUCUUACAUAAAUCUCAUUACAUAUGUGUUUAGGUUAUUAUAACUACUUACUGAAAUCACAUUAAAUAUGUGUUUAGGUUUUUAUAAUAACUUAGUGAGAUCGCAUUAGCUAUGUGUUUAGGUUAUCAAAUGGGUGCACAGAUUGAGAUCAUAAAUAAACACAUGUACAGAGUGUAUUGUAUAGUUUAAUGUUGGAUGCACGACAAAAGAAGGGUAACCCAACGUCUUUUGAAGGUCAACAUAUGUCCUAAAAGAUGAGACAGGUGUCUUUACAAUCAUGUGUCAAGCUCUGCAAUGGAAAAUUUAAACUAUAGUAUUUUUAUUUAUAAUAUAAGAAAGCCUGAAGCACGUUAUUAUUGUAUGUUAUGUAACAUUUUGUAGUUGAUUGUGGUUGAAAUAUGUUUUCG